GAUGAACGCUGGCGGCGUGCCUAAUACAUGCAAGUCGAGCGAACGGACGAGAAGCUUGCUUCUCUGAUGUUAGCGGCGGACGGGUGAGUAACACGUGGAUAACCUACCUAUAAGACUGGGAUAACUUCGGGAAACCGUAGCUAAUACCGGAUAAUAUUUUGAACCGCAUGGUUCAAAGGUGAAAGACGGUCUUGCUGUCACUUAUAGAUGGAUCCGCGCUGCAUUAGCUAGUUGGUAAGGUAACGGCUUACCAAGGCAACGAUGCAUAGCCGACCUGAGAGGGUGAUCGGCCACACUGGAACUGAGACACGGUCCAGACUCCUACGGGAGGCAGCAGUAGGGAAUCUUGCGCAAUGGGCGAAAGCCUGACGGAGCAACGCCGCGUGAGUGAUGAAGGUCUUCGGAUCGUAAAACUCUGUUAUUAGGGAAGAACAUAUGUGUAAGUAACUGUGCACAUCUUGACGGUACCUAAUCAGAAAGCCACGGCUAACUACGUG
This 497-nucleotide ribosomal RNA is filed under the name uncultured bacterium. RNAcentral's name for it is "partial 16S ribosomal RNA". It matches the Rfam family "Bacterial small subunit ribosomal RNA", at positions 28 to 507 of the family's 1533-position model. The record is from RNAcentral.